RNAcentral lists this long non-coding RNA (439 nucleotides) under Amphimedon queenslandica. RNAcentral describes it as "uncharacterized LOC109593123". Lineage: Eukaryota; Metazoa; Porifera; Demospongiae; Haplosclerida; Niphatidae. The record is from RNAcentral.
CUUCAAAAGUAACCAGAGAAGUUUUAAAGAUAGUAUAGGACCAAAUGCAAGCUGAUGAUGAAAGCACUGCUACUCAACUUCAGUAGCUUCUCGUUGAGAAAGGUCAUUCACUGUCACUGAAAACAAUAUUGAAGUCUCGCAAUACACUUGGUUGGACAUACCGUGGCAGUGCAUACUGCCAGAUCAUUAGAGGACCAAAUAAAGAGAAGCGAAUGAAAUUGGCUCAAGAUCAGUUGCAGGAGCACAGGACUACUGGUUUUUCUGAUGUACUGUACAGUGAUGAGUGUACAAUUGAAUUCGAAUCCCACAGGAGAUUUUCAUGAAGGAAAAUAGGUGCCCUCGAAACCAAAACCAAGAGCAAAACACCCCUAUAAGGUACAUGCAUGGGCAGGUAUAAGUUGCCAAGGAAAGACGCCAAUUGUGCUGUUUGAAGAAAAAA